UUGUAUUUGGAGUUGAUGAGGGUUCCAUUUUCCAAUACUCAACAAAAAUACCAAAGCCUAUGACAGGCAAGGAAGAAAAUAGUGAUAGGAAGUAAAUAUUACAUGAGUGGACAACUUUAUAGAAUACAGUAAGGAGUAAAGGAAGCUGAAUAAAGUAGUUCAAAGCGAAUUUUGGAGGAAGCAAGGGGCCAAAGAGAAGUCCACAAGGCCAUUGAAGACUGUUUGUUAAUAGUGAGUGAUACUGCUUAUUAGUGUUUGCUUUCUUGAUUAACACCACCAGUGCUCACACCCACUCCACUAUCUGUUUUGUAUUUGUUUAAUUUUUUAUUAUUUGUUCCUCUUACUUUUGUUUGAUGGGUGAGGCGAUUAUGUUUUUGUGUAUGUGCACAUUGCUGUCAAUCCAAUCUUUUGAAAGAGGGUUGGGGUGCUUCUUUUGUAUUUCAACUUGAGGAAUUAAGACUUUGUUUUUGCUUGAUUUGAUACAUCUUUUUGUUGCGUUCGGGCCUUCAAAAAGUAUGUAAAAGGAGAAUGUAAUUGAUGGGGUGGGGUUCAUGAAGGCCAUAAAAAAUAAUUCAUUUUGGGAAUCAUAUAUAGGAAUAGGAGGCACCUUUAUUAUGGAUAAAACUUUCUUAUUAAAAAUGAUAUUAUAAGCAGCGGCAGCAGCUUUGAUUAGAUGGUAAUAUGGCAUUCCUCACAUAAGAGAAGAGAAAUUAUACACACUAGCUGAAUGAGGAAAUAAUUUCAGAAUAAAUUGACACAGGAGACUGAUAAAUACAACUGUUUGUUUAAUUUAUUGUUUCAGGUGUUCCUGUAUAGAUAUAAUAGAUGAACUGCCUGCUUAUUGCUGAAAGCCUUUGAUCAAAGAUAUGCUUCUUGAUAUAUACAUUCCCGUAUGUUUCCAAAUAGACAAAGAUUGGCAUUUGCUCCCUUCCCUUUGAACUGGUACAAGCGGCGUCAAUUCAUGU
This 965-nucleotide long non-coding RNA is filed under the name Panax ginseng (ginseng). RNAcentral's name for it is "long non-coding RNA (PGIN_LNC018156)". Lineage: Eukaryota; Viridiplantae; Streptophyta; Magnoliopsida; Apiales; Araliaceae. The record is from RNAcentral.